UAAUGUCUGGGAAACUGCCUGAUGGAGGGGGAUAACUACUGGAAACGGUAGCUAAUACCGCAUAAUGUCGCAAGACCAAAGUGGGGGACCUUCGGGCCUCAUGCCAUCAGAUGUGCCAAGAUGGGAUUAGCUAGUAGGUGGGGUAACGGCUCACCUAGGCGACGAUCCCUAGCUGGUCUGAGAGGAUGACCAGCCACACUGGAACUGAGACACGGUCCAG
This 220-nucleotide ribosomal RNA is filed under the name uncultured bacterium. RNAcentral describes it as "partial 16S ribosomal RNA". It matches the Rfam family "Bacterial small subunit ribosomal RNA", at positions 111 to 334 of the family's 1533-position model. The record is from RNAcentral.